This 637-nucleotide ribosomal RNA is filed under the name uncultured fungus. RNAcentral describes it as "eukaryotic LSU rRNA". The stretch from base 228 to 380 matches the Rfam family "5.8S ribosomal RNA". Lineage: Eukaryota; Fungi. The record is from RNAcentral.
AGUAAAAGUCGUAACAAGGUUUCCGUAGGUGAACCUGCGGAAGGAUCAUUACCGAGUGAGGGCCCUCUGGGUCCAACCUCCCACCCGUGUUUAUUUUACCUUGUUGCUUCGGCGGGCCCGCCUUUACUGGCCGCCGGGGGGCUCACGCCCCCGGGCCCGCGCCCGCCGAAGACACCCUCGAACUCUGUCUGAAGAUUGUAGUCUGAGUGAAAAUAUAAAUUAUUUAAAACUUUCAACAACGGAUCUCUUGGUUCCGGCAUCGAUGAAGAACGCAGCGAAAUGCGAUACGUAAUGUGAAUUGCAAAUUCAGUGAACCAUCGAGUCUUUGAACGCACAUUGCGCCCCCUGGUAUUCCGGGGGGCAUGCCUGUCCGAGCGUCAUUGCUGCCCUCAAGCACGGCUUGUGUGUUGGGCCCCGUCCUCCGAUUCCGGGGGACGGGCCCGAAAGGCAGCGGCGGCACCGCGUCCGGUCCUCGAGCGUAUGGGGCUUUGUCACCCGCUCUGUAGGCCCGGCCGGCGCUUGCCGAUCAACCCAAAUUUUUAUCCAGGUUGACCUCGGAUCAGGUAGGGAUACCCGCUGAACUUAAGCAUAUCAAUAAGCGGAGGAAAAGAAACCAACAGGGAUUGCCUUAGUAACG